RNAcentral lists this long non-coding RNA (556 nucleotides) under Mus spicilegus (steppe mouse). RNAcentral's name for it is "lncRNA (ENSMSIG00000000183.1)". Lineage: Eukaryota; Metazoa; Chordata; Mammalia; Rodentia; Muridae. The record is from RNAcentral.
GACCUUUAGCAAUGAAAACUUGGUUACUUAAAAAUCAUUGUUACUCAUUGGCUGAUUUUCAGAAAUAUUGGGCUGUCAUUGACUGACUGGCAUUCAGAAGCAUGGUUAAUGAUGCAAAGCUGUCAUUGAUCAACUAGGAUGGAUUUAGAAUUGGUUCUAGAGAUUAUUUGCUGGCAAUGGCUGAAAAGAACCAAUCCCUUCUAUGAAGUUUGGGCAUGUUCUACUUUGUGCACACAGCUAUCAACAUCCACUAUUGACAAACUGUUGACACCACUGUGGAAUUAUCUGCCAGUUGUUAGUACUUUUUGAGGACAGCAUUUCACGUAACCAGGAACAAAGCAGAACCAAUGUAUGCACAUGAUCAGUAUCUUCCACUGAAGACAUGAGAGGACAUGAGCAAUAUGGUGACAGUCUCAAGUCUCUGCCUCAGCAAAUAAUGUGGCAUAGAAAAGGCCUUCCACUGGGAACCAGGUGAGCUGGUACAAAGUCUAAGAUAAAAUUUAGUGUGGUUAUUUAACCCUCUUUCUGUUUCUGUCUCAUGCGCACAUUUGCAUAU